Molecule: ribosomal RNA, 468 nt
Filed under: uncultured bacterium
Lineage: Bacteria
Description: partial 16S ribosomal RNA
Rfam family: Bacterial small subunit ribosomal RNA
Source: RNAcentral
GACGAACGCUGGCGGCGUGCUUAACACAUGCAAGUCGAACGGAAAGGCCCUGCUUUUGUGGGGUGCUCGAGUGGCGAACGGGUGAGUAACACGUGAGUAACCUGCCCUUGACUUUGGGAUAACUUCAGGAAACUGGGGCUAAUACCGGAUAGGAGCUCCUGCUGCAUGGUGGGGGUUGGAAAGUUUCGGCGGUUGGGGAUGGACUCGCGGCUUAUCAGCUUGUUGGUGUGGUAGUGGCUUACCAAGGCUUUGACGGGUAGCCGGCCUGAGAGGGUGACCGGCCACAUUGGGACUGAGAUACGGCGCAGACUCCUACGGGAGGCAGCAGUGGGGAAUAUUGCACAAUGGGCGGAAGCCUGAUGCAGCAACGCCGCGUGCGGGAUGACGGCCUUCGGGUUGUAAACCGCUGUCGCCUGUGACGAAGCGUGAGUGACGGUAAUGGGUAAAGAAGCACCGGCUAACUACGUG